UACGAAGGGUGCAAGCGUUAAUCGGAAUUACUGGGCGUAAAGGGUGCGUAGGCGGUUAUUUAAGUCUGCCGUGAAAUCCCCCGGGCUCAACCUGGGAAUGGCGGUGGAUACUGGAUAGCUAGAGUGUGUCAGAGGAUGGUGGAAUUCCCGGUGUAGCGGUGAAAAUGCGUAGAGAUCGGGGAGGAACAUCAGUGGCGAAGGCGGCCAUCUGGGACAACACUGACGCUGAGGAGCGAAAAGCAUGGGGAGCGAACAGG
RNAcentral lists this ribosomal RNA (257 nucleotides) under uncultured bacterium. RNAcentral's name for it is "partial 16S ribosomal RNA". It matches the Rfam family "Bacterial small subunit ribosomal RNA", at positions 524 to 776 of the family's 1533-position model. The record is from RNAcentral.